RNAcentral lists this ribosomal RNA (507 nucleotides) under Starmerella bacillaris. RNAcentral describes it as "eukaryotic LSU rRNA". It matches the Rfam family "Eukaryotic large subunit ribosomal RNA", at positions 49 to 659 of the family's 3401-position model. Lineage: Eukaryota; Fungi; Ascomycota; Dipodascomycetes; Dipodascales; Trichomonascaceae. The record is from RNAcentral.
AGCGGAGGAAAAGAAACCAACAGGGAUUGCCUAGAUAACGGCGAGUGAACAGGCAAGAGCUCAGAUUUGAAAGGCACUUUUGUGCCGUUGUAUUCUGAAGUUAGGGUCCUGAGAAACGAUGCUUAAGUCUUCUGGAAAGGAGCGCCAUGGAGGGUGAUAGCCCCGUCUAGCAUUGACCUCAUAUAGGAUCUUAACAUGGAGUCGAGUUGUUUGGGAAUGCAGCUCAAAUGGGUGGUAUGCUCCAUCUAAAGCUAAAUAUCUGCGAGAGACCGAUAGUAAACAAGUACUGUGAGGGAAAGAUGAAAAGAACUUUGAAAAGAGAGUGAAAAAGUACGUGAAAUUGUUGAAAUGGAAGGGUAGGCCGCUAACCAUGUAGAGCCGUGUUUGGGGGGAAGAUAAAUGCUGUAGAAUGUAGCUCCUCGGAGUAUUAUAGAUGCAGUUCAUAUUCCCACCCGAGCGCGAGGAUCUCAGGUUCUACUAAAUGGUGGUCUACCACCCGUCUUGAAC